RNAcentral lists this long non-coding RNA (1225 nucleotides) under Zea mays. Its description in RNAcentral is "long non-coding RNA (ZMAY_LNC001725)". The record is from RNAcentral. Lineage: Eukaryota; Viridiplantae; Streptophyta; Magnoliopsida; Poales; Poaceae.
UAGCAAAGGAAAGUUAAACAUACGACAUGAACUGAAUUAACCAGUGCGCAUGACUAGUAAAAAAAACAAACAUCCUUUGACAUCAAGUUUCUAAUUAAAUCAUGGAUGCGCUUGGGCAGCCUUAAUAUGAGAGUGAAAGUGGACGUGCUGCUACUCCCCUCAUUCCCAACAUAUAUCAAGUACCUGCAUUGAGUAAUGCAAGAGUGAGAUGACACAUCUCAGCAAGUAAAAUAAUAACAAACUGUUUAACCAUAUAAGAACAUUGUUUUACCACCAUUUGAUUUCGCAACCUUCUUAUUACGAAGGUGCAGCACGAAUACAACGUACAACACACCUAGUUACCACACCUUGCAGGUAGAAACCACAAUAGUAACAUAGUAAUGUCACACUUCAUAUAUACCUCAUGAGUGCAAAUGUCUGCAAAUGCAAGGAUGACUUCUGCCUUCAUACCUCUAAGGAUAUGAAGCCGCAUCGUACCCCUCCUCGGGCAACGUACGAUGCUAAAAGUGUACCGGUACGGUCGGACCAUAAGAUCACGACAUAACUUCAAAAUGCAAUAUGGAUGAUGCGAUGUGCAUGACAUGCCUACAACACUUCAUACAACAUGAUUCAAAAAGAUACUUCAACUUCAUCCAAGAUGGGAAUCAACCACAUAUAUCAUUCCCAAAUCAUGAUCAUCCUCAAUAUUAGACAAUUGAGAAUUAAUUCUUUCGAACAAAUAAACUUCAUCAUAGAAUUCAAUGAUUAACACAUUUAAUACUUAUGCAUACUCAAUGACAAGGCAUAGGAUGCAAACCAAACGGUAGCAACCACCACUGUAUUUACUUGCCUUCACCGGGAAUUUGGAAUGGUACUAAGUACGAUCCGGAAGUCCACCACCUUGGAUUCCUCCUUUCCUCCUUCCUUCCUCCCACCAAUUCUCCAAUCGGAACUUGCACCCACACGAAGAAGAUCCGGCGAGGAAGGACAUCACUUGGAGAGGAGGAGAUGGGAGGGGGGUGGCGGCUAGGGUUGAGGGGAUGGGGGCUGCUGCACAAGAGAGAGGGAAUUAGGGGGAGGGGAUGGCGGCCAAAGGCUAGAGAGGGGGGGGGGCGGCUGCACAAGGGGAAGGGAAUUAGGGGAAGGGGCGGCUAGGGUUAGGGGGGUUAGUGGGCCGGAUCAAGAACCACGGCCCAACUCGCUCACGCGUCAACUCCCGACCCCGGCGCACAAGUCUAACCAAAAU